RNAcentral lists this long non-coding RNA (222 nucleotides) under Elaeis guineensis (African oil palm). RNAcentral's name for it is "long non-coding RNA (EGUI_LNC060222)". Lineage: Eukaryota; Viridiplantae; Streptophyta; Magnoliopsida; Arecales; Arecaceae. The record is from RNAcentral.
UUGUCAGCAGAGGUAGCUGGCACCUUUCCCACUCUCCAGUCGGCGGUCGUUCACUCGAAACCACCAUGAAGUCGGAGCUUGACUGUGUUCGAGACUGCAUCGGCCCAGCCAGAGGCACUUGAGGAAUGGUCUAUAUGGCAGCAGACAAUUCUAGUUCGACCAGACUGUAAAUUCGGCCUGAGCCCCCACUGAUGGAACCAGGAUUGAUGCCAUCUUGGCAGC